GAUGAACGCUGGCGGCGUGCCUAAUACAUGCAAGUCGAGCGAACAGACGAGGAGCUUGCUCCUCUGACGUUAGCGGCGGACGGGUGAGUAACACGUGGAUAACCUACCUAUAAGACUGGGAUAACUUCGGGAAACCGGAGCUAAUACCGGAUAAUAUAUUGAACCGCAUGGUUCAAUAGUGAAAGACGGUUUUGCUGUCACUUAUAGAUGGAUCCGCGCCGCAUUAGCUAGUUGGUAAGGUAACGGCUUACCACGGCAACGAUGCGUAGCCGACCUGAGAGGCGGAGAGCCCGCAUGAUAACUGAACCCGGUACACGGGUACUGCGGGCGGACCCAGUCGGCAAUGUUCGGCAAGAGGCGGGAAUAUUGCACAACGGGGGCACGUGUGAUACAGAGAUGCUCGGAUCGUGAAGCCCUCUUACUGGUGGAAAACAGAUGUCUCCGGUGAUGAGCACGUAGUGACGGUAACGAGUAAAAAAGCCCCGGCUAACCACGUG
Molecule: ribosomal RNA, 497 nt
Filed under: uncultured bacterium
Lineage: Bacteria
Description: partial 16S ribosomal RNA
Rfam family: Bacterial small subunit ribosomal RNA
Source: RNAcentral